CAAUAGCGUAUAUUAAAGUUGUUGCGGUUAAAAAGCUCGUAGUUGGAUUUCUGCUGAGGACGACCGGUCCGCCCUCUGGGUGAGUAUCUGGCUCGGCCUUGGCAUCUUCUUGGAGAACGUUGCUGCACUUGACUGUGUGGCGCGGUAUCCAGGACAUUUACUUUGAGGAAAUUAGAGUGUUUCAAGCAGGCAUACGCCUUGAAUACAUUAGCAUGGAAUAAUAAGAUAGGACCUCGGUUCUAUUUUGUUGGUUUCUAGAGCUGAGGUAAUGAUUAAUAGGGAUAGUUGGGGGCAUUCGUAUUUAACUGUCAGAGGUGAAAUUCUUGGAUUUAUGAAAGACGAACUUCUGCGAAAGCAUUUGCCAAGGAUGUUUUCAUUAA
Molecule: ribosomal RNA, 380 nt
Filed under: uncultured eukaryote
Lineage: Eukaryota
Description: partial 18S ribosomal RNA
Rfam family: Eukaryotic small subunit ribosomal RNA
Source: RNAcentral